This 675-nucleotide long non-coding RNA is filed under the name Citrus x clementina. RNAcentral describes it as "Citrus clementina (C. clementina) long non-coding RNA (CCLE_LNC002831)". The record is from RNAcentral. Lineage: Eukaryota; Viridiplantae; Streptophyta; Magnoliopsida; Sapindales; Rutaceae.
ACUAAAUUUCUGACUCAGUCGGUGACUAAUCGAGAGAAAAAUAGUGAUAAAAAGGAGAGUGGGUCCCCAUGAAAAUUGAACUGUAACUUCUUCGGGUCUUCUGAUAAUCUCCCAACACUACAGCUUCAACUAAACGCCCCAAGUUGUUUCCCUGUUGAGCAGCAUAUGUGGGCGGCGCGUGGGCCUUACAUUCCACUCGGUCACGUGACGGCGGCGACUGUUUAGUGUUUAGCUUAUUAGGCUGUGUUCCGUCCCAAUCUUGAUCUGUCAUUUGACUUCAUGCAAAAUCUCAGUCCUUGGGGCCCAUUUGGCUUAUCCCCAUCAUCGCAAUUCACAAUCACAUUGAUGAAGCGAUAUGAUGACUGAUGAUGCCCGCACUAAUCCUGUUUCUUUAAGAUUUUGAACAUCCAACGGCUCUUAUGGCCCCACCUGUCCUUCUGUCCUUGCCACCACGUGUUACCUUAGGGUAGCUUGCAAGCUUACGGGGGGGCAGUUCGCAAUUUCUCUCCCAUAGGAGAAUGCUAGGGAAAUUUGAAGGAAAUAGGGGUCUGCCUUCCGUGCAACAGUUACACGGUACCACUUAAUUUUGUCUUUUUCCAACAAUUACACUACACUACCCUAUAUUUAUAAGAAAACUGAAUAGAUACUAUAAGUUACAAAUUUUUAUAUAUAAGU